RNAcentral lists this ribosomal RNA (848 nucleotides) under uncultured archaeon. Its description in RNAcentral is "bacterial SSU rRNA". It matches the Rfam family "Archaeal small subunit ribosomal RNA", at positions 21 to 856 of the family's 1478-position model. The record is from RNAcentral.
CCCGACUGCUAUUUGGGUGAGAAUAAGCCAUGCGAGUUGAAUGGGAUACCUAAAGUUCCCAUAGCAAACUGCUCAGUAACACAUGAUCAACUUACCCUAUAGAGAAAAAUAACCUCGGGAAACUGAGGAUAAUGUUUCAUAAUUGAAUUGGCUUGGAAAAGUUUUUCAAUGAAAAGGAUAAAAAAAAUGGUUUUUAUCUGCUAUAGGAUAGGAUCGUGUUCGAUUAUGGUUGUUGGUGAGAUAAUGGCUCACCAAGCCGAUAAUCGAUAGGGGCCGUGAGAGCGGGAGCCCCGAGAUGGGUACUGAGACAACGACCCAGGCCUUACGAGGCGCAGCAGGCGCGGAACCUCCGCAAUACACGAAAGUGUGACGGGGUUACCCAAAGUGUUCAAUUUGAACUGUGGUAGGUGAGUAAUGUCCCCUACUAGAAAGGAGAGGGCAAGGCUGGUGCCAGCCGCCGCGGUAAAACCAGCUCUUCAAGUGGUCGGGAUAAUUAUUGGGCUUAAAGUGUCCGUAGCCGGUUUAGUAAGUUCCUGGUAAAAUCGGGUAGCUUAACUAUCUGCAUGCUAGGAAUACUGCUAUACUAGAGGGCGGGAGAGGUCUGAGGUACUGCAGGGGUAGGGGUGAAAUCUUAUAAUCCUUGUAGGACCACCAGUGGCGAAGGCGUCAGACUGGAACGCGCCUGACGGUGAGGGACGAAAGCCAGGGGAGCGAACCGGAUUAGAUACCCGGGUAGUCCUGGCCGUAAACGAUGCAUACUAGGUGAUGGUACGGCCAUGAGCCGUAUCAGUGCCGUAGGGAAACCGUUAAGUGUGCCGCCUGGGAAGUACGGUCGCAAGGCUAAAACU